AAUAAGGUGCCUGAUUAAAAGGACUAUCUUGAUAGGAUAGAUAAUGUAUUUAGUACUCUUAUUA
Molecule: transfer RNA, 64 nt
Filed under: Yemmalysus parallelus
Lineage: Eukaryota; Metazoa; Arthropoda; Insecta; Hemiptera; Berytidae
Also listed under: 1 other name
Description: tRNA-Ile
Source: RNAcentral